This 75-nucleotide transfer RNA is filed under the name Candidatus Poribacteria bacterium. RNAcentral describes it as "tRNA-Thr". It matches the Rfam family "tRNA". From Rfam's summary of the family: Transfer RNA (tRNA) molecules are approximately 80 nucleotides in length. Their secondary structure includes four short double-helical elements and three loops (D, anti-codon, and T loops). The record is from RNAcentral. Lineage: Bacteria; Candidatus Poribacteria.
GCUGGCGUAGCUCAGUGGUAGAGCGACUGAUUUGUAAUCAGUUGGUCGGGGGUUCGACUCCUCUCGCCAGCCCCA